AUCCUCCUGCAGGCGGACUGGCAGGAGCCCCGAGGGGUCUGGGAAGGCACUGCCUGGUCCCCCUGCCCAGCCUGACAGUCCUCAGCACAGCAUAGGGCCCGUGCCGGCCUGCUGCCCUCGCCCUCCCGCAGAGCGGUGCUGCCCGUGGCACUCCGUGAGACGCUGGGGGCAGAUCCCAAUGGCUCCGGGGUCAGGCAAGCUGGUGGGGCUCAGCUUGGGUACGUGCUGGACAGCGUGAGAUCAGGACAGCCAGAGAAAUGUCCUGUCACAGGUUCCCUGGCAGGAAUUGGGCUUCUGAAAACGGCAGUCCCUUUCCGGCAUGGAGCCGCUUGUUGUGAUGGAGUCUUACAAAACUUCCUUUUAAUUGCACAGUUGUAAUUUCAGUGAAUUAAAGGAUCAUUAGGAAAUAGAAGAGAAAGAAGAUGCUGCCUCUCUCUCCAACACCUCACAGCUUAGGGCCUCCAGGCUUUUAACCAGCUCCACACUGCGCCCGCUGGCUACAGCUGGGCUUUACGUGGGCUAGAGGAACAUGCCCACUACGAGCCAGUCCUGGCUCCUGGCUGAAUCGGACAAAUUGAACCUGAUUCUCCUCCCACCGAGCCCAGUGUAAAUGGAGAGACUUCCACUGCAGUGACACCAGGAUAAAGCUGCAUUACACAAACUUGAAUGGAAAAUAUUUGACUUCUGGACUGGAAGAAUGAGCUCUGCUUUCCAAGUUUAACAGCAAGUAGAAUUUCCCAUGCACCAACCAAACAGACGAAUGAAAAUGUCCUUGGGAAGGAAAGGGGGAAGAUUAUAUGUUCACUGGCUUGAAAAGUUCACCAGUUUUCUUGGCAACCUUUUCCGUCAACUGUCUGUCCUACCCCAGAUUAUGUAACAUUCCUUGGACUCGAGAUGUUCCAGACGCUCAGAUCUUGUUGGCCUGUUUAGCCUCCAAACAUUUAACCUAUUUUAUUACUGCCUUUUUUUUGUGGAGCUAUUUGUAUCUGAGCAGAGUAAGCAUAAAACCAGGAAUAAACCUCUCCCAAGUUAGAAGGGUAGCUAUUUACCUACCUUUUGCUCAAGACUAAAUGAUGCUACAAGAUGGAACAGCAGACUUGCUGCACCAGAUGGCCUGCUGUUUGAAGUGUGGACAC
This is a long non-coding RNA of Gavialis gangeticus (Gharial), 1136 nucleotides long. RefSeq lists it as uncharacterized. Lineage: Eukaryota; Metazoa; Chordata; Crocodylia; Gavialidae. The record is from RefSeq and is a predicted model, not a curated record. The transcript is spliced from 3 exons.